This 5850-nucleotide unclassified non-coding RNA is filed under the name Hevea brasiliensis (rubber tree). Lineage: Eukaryota; Viridiplantae; Streptophyta; Magnoliopsida; Malpighiales; Euphorbiaceae. The record is from RNAcentral.
AGUUCAGCAGCAAAAAUAAUGUGGACCUUCUCUGCCACUUUUUAAGAAGAAAGAAGGAGACCAUGACAACGAAUAGAUUAGUUGCCAAAUCACAAAAUUAUUAGGCAUCUGACGGUAACAACGAUGAUCAUUAUAAUGGAGGUCUUCAUUCUUCGAGAUGGAAGACGGCAUCAGUAAUGAUUAGAUUUAACUGCUAAAGUCUAGUGACCAAGCAUUAACAUUAAAAAAUUAUUGGCAGUAAAUAGUUGAAUCUAUGCCCAGUUCAACCCUAAAUUAACUAGUUAUCCAAGUGGCCUCCCAAUUGCUUUCAAUGCCGGUAAAAUUGCUACCAUUACCUUCACAAGAUCAAAGCAUAAAUGCGUUGCCUAGACUGAAACAAGAAUAUAACCUCUCUAAAGAAACAAAACAGAGUCAGCCUCUUGCGCAUCAUAGCCUUAGUAUGCCGAUAGCCACGUGCCGGACAAAUUGUCUGGAAAACAUGGAAAGUGUAAGCUUAUAAUAUUUAAACAUAUCAUUCUUUUCUGCACAGGUUCAGGAGUCGCAGGGAGAAUUGAUUCUUUCAACAAGGUAGGAGAAAUAAUUACAAUUACUUUCUACGAUGAAAUAAAUCAACAAGGUGCUAUCCCCACACACACGGGGGGCAAACGUAGGUGGGGAAAUAUCCUUGGAGAAGUACAGAAGAAUUAAGACAUAACAUGUAUAAGGGCUAAGAAUAAAAUGCAUACAAGCAAAUAAGCAAUUGCACAUGCUUAAUGUCUAUCAAAAUGCAUUCCUCUAGACCUUCAGGAACGCCAAAAUCAAUCGCUACUUGACUAUACCUUAGAACCAAGACACAACCACACAUCAAAAGCUUCAAACCAAUCAUCAUAACUCUAUAAGCAAACUUAAGAUAACUAUUUGUAUCAUUGGUACCUAGUACCAUUCAACAGUAUAAUCUCUGCUCCCCACCAAGGCCACAAUUAUGGAUAACACUAUCACAUCAACUUGCUGCUUGCAAAUAUUGCAAUUGCUAGGGUGGGCCACCUCCACAUCGACACCCUUCCACUGAAAGGAAGCUAAAUUGUGGUACUCACUCUGACAGCCUUUCCUUAGUUGAAUUAGCAUGUGUUUAGGUUUAAUGCUACUGAAAAAAUAUGAAAACUUACUCCACAAUUCCAACUUAUUUUUUAUCAUGUCUGUUAUUAUUUUUUUAUAUAGCAAAUGAUUUCAGCAUAAACCACCAUAAAACAGAGAAUGUUCCUCUGGAAAGAGAUGAGGGCACCAUAGGAAAUUAUAAGAAAAAUAACAAAUGAUCAAUGUCAUAUUUUGCUCAUUAUCACAAAGCCAGGAGCAUCAUACUUAGACAUGACAUUCUAGUACUAUUAAUGCAUGGACAGCUUAAGAACAGCCUUAAACAAAUCUUAAUAAAACCAAUAUAUAAAUUCAAUUAACAGUAAGCGUGAUAUCUACACUACAAAUAGUAAAACUUUUGUUAAUUAAGGUAUUACAGAACAAUAUUCCAAUUAAUGUUGCUUAAGAGGCACCCUUGUGGCAUUUGCUAACAUAUUCCAAAGAAUAAUUCAAUACCAGAAAUUGAUAGAUGGGUUAUUAAGUUUAAUCCAGUAAGAUAAAUGAUCAAUUUUCCCCUGCAGCUCAGUAAUUAGAAAAACGCAUAAAAACCAGAUGGGCGGUUGAAACCUGAAAACUGAGGAACUAAGGGUCAAUUUUAGCCAAAGAAACAAUUUUGUUUAGAUGUAGAAAUUACCUCUUAUGCAGCUCUAGUCCUCAAUCUGACUUAGGCAUAUGAGGAACAUUUCCUCAUGUGCCACAGAUUGUGCAUGGACAACUCAUUCUACAGUAAAUUGAACUGGCCAGAGAACUUGGCCUUGCAGGCUGCACAAGUAAAACCCAAUGAGCUUGCUUGUGCUUCAGAUUCUAGAGCCUCAUAAUGAAACUCAUUUCUGCACCAGACACAGACAUACAAAGUAGGCACACGUCGCCUGCUUGCUAUCUUUGGUAACAAAGGCAAAGCUUCCUUAUCAAGCCAAACAGAUGAAUCAAGACCUCGAGCGAUCUCUGCAUCAUAUGAAAAGACCCUGGAAUCAUCUGAAUGAGGGUUCAUAAAAUUAUAUUCCAUAUUCUCCAUGCUGCCUGAUCUCAGCCCUUCGAAACCUGAUAUACCAGAAAACUUCUCACCAAAGAAUUCAGUCUCACCCUUAUCUGACAUUACGUCAUAUGAGGGAAAACAGCUAGAUGAAUUAACAAGUCGAGAUGAAGUAUCAGCAAAACUACCAAGCAGGUCAUUUUCUUCAUCAGUUCUCCACAUAAACCCAGAUACAACAUUUUCACUAGUUUGGGUAUGACUGCUAGAACCAAUCACUGAUUCAUUCCUCCUAGGAUUUAAGUCCUGCAACCUGGGCUCCUCUUGAACUUUGCCUGUCAAAAUCCUAUUCGAAUUAUUUUCAGCACUCCAAACUUGCUCACUGCUAGAAAGACAAAGUAAGCUGUCUAUAGAAGCCCUUUUCUUCUCAUCCAGAUUGCAACUGUAAACACCAUUUAAAUUAUCUUCCAUAGAAAAUUUCUCCUGAUUCCCAGAAUUAACAAGGGUAAAAUCCUUUGAACAGCUUUCUAGCAUCGUGCUUUUCACAACAUCCACAUCCUGUUCACUGUGACCAUGGUCAAAAACAAUAAGUGGUUCACCAUCACAUUGACUUUUAAAUCCCUUAUGCUUGGACCAGUCCAUUGUGUUACAUGAGACCUUAUUCAUGUUAUUCUCAUUAAAAUGUGUUUUCACAUCAGAAGAUGGUCCACCUAAACUGCUUUCAAAAUUUCUAUCCUGCAUAAAGUUCUUUGAUGUGUCAUUCAGGACUCCAUCAUCUUUUAAAGCAAAUGUAAGCCCAUUAGCUAAUGGAAAAAGUGAAAAAUUGUUGGAACUUCUUCCCAACUCAAUAUUAGUUAUACAUCCUUCAAGUGCAUCAAUGUCUUUGCUGUGCUCACUGUUAUUAGAGCAUGGGACUUCGACAUGAUUAGGCACCUCCAAUGUACCAUUAGAAACAUUAACAUUAAUAUUUUCAGAAUCAAAGCAUUGCUGAUGUGCAUAUAAAGUAAGCUCACUGCCUUCAGAAUCCUUUUCUUGAUGGUGUAUCUUUCUUGUGCAACUGGGAUUCCCCUUCAUAUUAUUUUCAGUAAAACAAAUCUGCUCAUUCCAUGAUGGAAUAGCUGAGCAGCUUCCAUAACUACUCUCCAUAUCAUUGAUGAUCUUUGUAUCCUCAACUAUUAAAGUGCUAUUGCUACCAAAACCAACAGUUUGGACAUCAUUCCUAGACCUACCCACUACCUUAAGUUUGGGCUUGUUCACUGUUUUACCAGAAACUUGGUACAUCUUAUUGUUGGAAACACGUGCAAAAUCUGAGGAAGUUAAACCCCCUUUAGAAUCCAUUUCAUGUUUCAGCUCCACUGCAGAAGUUGAAAGCCCAUGCACAUUAUUUACUGAACCAUAUCUUUGUAAACCACCAUAUGUAACAACCAAACAGCCUUCAUAACUUUGCUCCUUGCUGUUGGUUGAAACAUUCUCUUGUGCUGAGCAACGCACGCCAAAAUCAGUUCUUAGCUUGUCUUUCCCAACAAAAACCCUGUCAUCAAUUGUCAUGCAACUUACUGUGCUAGAAUGAAGUCUAUCCUCGAUAGUUUUGCCAUCAACUGUUUUCUUUUCAGAAUGUGGGGCAAUUAAACCACUAUCAGAACCUCUCUCCUGAUAAUGCUCCUCCAUUAACCUUAUGUGUGCCUGAUCCUCAUCGUUGUCAUUUGCACAUCCUUGGUUCCUUCCAACAGCAGCAAGUGAACAACUCUGAGAACCUGUUUCCUGGCUGCCCAAGUUACUGAUUCUGCCAGUGGUGCAUUCAAUAACAUUUUUUUCAUCAGAAGAUUUAUAAACGGAAUCAUUCUCCUUAUUGGAAAUGGUUGACACUGCACCUGGAUAAACAUUAUUUCCAACAGCAUCAAUGUCAGUAACUUUAUUCAUCUUCUCUCCUUUAUCAUUGGUCGUGCUACAAACUAUAUCCUGCUUAUCACAAUAAGAUUCACCAGUCGGAUUUUCUUUUGUUUUAUAAUUUGGAACAGCAGAACUUAUUUCAUCAUUGAUUUUAAUGUCAGAAUUCACUGCAACAGCACCCAUAGCAAUUCCAAUUGAUUCUUGAAUCUUUAAAACAUCAGGAUGAACUCCUAAUAAUGGAGUGACAGGGCUCCUUUGGAUGGUCAUGAAUCCACUUGAAGCUUCAAUUCUCUUAAAAUAAUCUUUUAUGUGGUUCCCAAGGUGACCAUUAUAUCGAUGCAUUUCUUCAAAAGGUUUAUGACAAAAUUGACAUUCAUACUUUCCAUUUUUCAUUAUCACCUCCUCAUUCAUGGAUGCUCCUUGUUUAAGCCUCUUUGGAGUCCUGUGAUGGGAUGAUAGCAGAUGUUGCAGCAAGUCAUCCGGCUCAUCAAAAACCAUGAUGCAUUUGUGGCAUUUAUAUUUCCUCAGUGUUUGGACCUGCCCAGGAAUCCCUAUGUUCAACGAGGAAGAUUGCUUCUCAUCCCCAUUCUUGUCAGCUUUAAGGGUAAGAUCUGCAGCAUUCCCAGAAGAUAUUUUGUCAGUCAAAUGAACGUUGCCAUCAACAUGAUCAAAAUUUGACUGGCUUGCAUCUUGAAGUCCAAAUGAGGAAAGUAAAUAUGAUGAAACUUCCUUGCAGGACAUAAACUGCUGUCCAUUAGGGCUUAUGUAUCUUCUACAAGCAAUCCAAAAGAAGCCAGCUUUCUUCUUGAUGCAGAGCAUGAGUUUCCAACCACUUGGCAAUACAUUGCCGAGCACACUUGCGUCCACUAUCAUCUUCUUCUUUCUGCUAGUCACCCAUUCUCCCUCUAGCCCCUGCAAAAACCCUAAUAACUCUGCCUCUGUAUGCAUUCCCGCUGUUCGAAUCAUCAGUUCCCCUCCAUAUGGAUCUUCCAUACUCCCCAGUGCCACCAAGUCCAUCUUCAUUCCAUUCUUAUUCAUCGUCAACAUCUCCCCCUUCUUCUUCUCCUUAUCCACGCUUGCAUCCACACCAAUCGUCUCUCUCUCUCUUUGCUUAUUCUCAGUCUCACUCACCUGGUUGGGAUUACUACUGUCACUAUAAAAAUUACUCUCAUUUUUUCGUGGCCUGCCUCGCUUCCUCUUUUUCGUAGUAUAAUCAACAAUUGAAGUCGGAAUUGCCUGCUUCAUCACCUCUUCGCUGUCAUAAUUAGCAAUGCCGAUUGGAACAUUUUGCAAUGCCUCAUUCACAGUGGAAGGAAAACCUAGGAAUUGGUUGUAUUGGAUGGGAAUAGAAACUAGGUUAUUAUCAUUAUCAUUAUUAUUAUUAUCCUCUUUCUCAUCUGAGUGAGAAUUGGCACCAAACAGGGACUUGAGGAGGGAAAUGAUUUGAGAAUUUUCUUCAUCUAGAGUUUGGGAGACAAUGGGAGAUUCAAUUAGAGGGGAGGAAGAGAACUGAGAGUUGUUGCGAGGAGCUAAUCGGAGGCGGGAAAAGGUCUGUUUGCGGCUGCCGGCGGACUCAUUGAAGACGGAACGAUCGAUUUUGGGAGUAGCAACGUCAUCGUCGUUUUGGUGAUAGUGGAGAGAAGAGGAGUAGGAGGAACAAAGAGAGAGGGAAAGGAGUUCAGACUGGGAGAGAAGGCCAAGAUCGAUUAGAGGAAGGGAUUCUGUAUGGAGGUGGUUGAGGUGAUGGUUGGAGGCGGAGGAGUCGACGGUGGCGGUGGCCAUGACAUGGAAGAGGAAGGAAGUAGAAAGAUGAGGAAGGUGCUCAGGUGCAGAGGUGCGACUUGCGAGAAGGGAUAGAAGUUAGAAGUUGUAAAAGGGCU